GUGUCAGCAGCCGCGGUAACACGUAGGGAGCAAGCGUUGUCCGGAUUUAUUGGGCGUAAAGAGCUCGUAGGUGGUUCGAUAAGUCGGGUGUGAAAACUCUGGGCUCAACUCAGAGACGCCACUCGAUACUGUCGUGACUGGAGUCUGGUAGGGGAGUGUGGAAUUCCCAGUGUAGCGGUGAAAUGCGCAGAUAUUGGGAGGAACACCAGUGGCGAAGGCGGCACUCUGGGCCAGUACUGACACUGAGGAGCGAAAGCGUGGGGAGCGAACAGGAUUAGAAACCCUCGUAGUCC
This 293-nucleotide ribosomal RNA is filed under the name uncultured bacterium. Its description in RNAcentral is "partial 16S ribosomal RNA". It matches the Rfam family "Bacterial small subunit ribosomal RNA", at positions 505 to 796 of the family's 1533-position model. The record is from RNAcentral.